GUGGGAUGCAACUGACCCAUUAUUAAUUAUGAUAAUCUGGAGGUCAUUGACACUAUGAAGAAUGGAGGACAUUUCGGCUAUGGCAUAGUUUUCGACAAUUGUUACCAUUUUGCUUGUGAUUUUCCUAUCUCUAUGUUAGAACAUUAUAAUAGAGAAGAAAAUAAAGUUGCUCGUGAGCUUGCUAAGCUAGCUAGAUUUUUUUUGACUUUUUAUUGGUUUGAGGAACCCCUGAAUAAAGUUGUACCCUUCCAUAAAUGA
RNAcentral lists this ribosomal RNA (258 nucleotides) under Triticum aestivum (bread wheat). RNAcentral's name for it is "partial small subunit ribosomal RNA". The record is from RNAcentral. Lineage: Eukaryota; Viridiplantae; Streptophyta; Magnoliopsida; Poales; Poaceae.